GAGAAAUCUCGCGUCUUAUGAAACUGAGGCCAAAAAUGGGAAGCUUCAAGAUAAUGAUUUUCUUGCAUUUGUUGCCCCUUUGUGAUUGUUGAUUAUCAGCUCAGCCAUGGAAAGACCUUAGGAGAUGUCGGCAGCCGAGCUGUGAGGACUUCAACUCCAGUUUCUGUUACCAAGAGGGUGUGUUCAAACUGAGCACUUCGUUUCCCAUCAGCAGUAACAGCAGUCCACCCAUCAGGCCACAUCCGAU
This 247-nucleotide unclassified non-coding RNA is filed under the name Hevea brasiliensis (rubber tree). Lineage: Eukaryota; Viridiplantae; Streptophyta; Magnoliopsida; Malpighiales; Euphorbiaceae. The record is from RNAcentral.